UAAUUGUUGUUUGGAGUAGAAAUGAAAAGUUGAAGAAUGUUUAAUCAGCUCACAAAGUUGUCAGAGGGUUUUAAUAACUUGCUAUAACGUGAUAAAACAGAAAUUCUGCUAACCUUAGAGAAGAGGCUUAAGAGUCAUGUAGGAAGUUGAAUGACCUUAAUAUUGUUGUAUAAUGAAAACUCAUCACAAGAAAGGAACACACUUAUAAAUCCCUUCACACCGCAGCCCCGGUGAACAAUGAACAAAAUGGGAAAAUGCAAAGGCAGCUAGCAAAGAAUGCUAAAGAGAGGUAGAGAACCAUGCAACAAGGAAAGAAAAGAAUCAUUCCCAAAUUUACAAAUAAUGGGCAACAGGUCAUCUUGCAGAGAGCCUUGGAGCAAAACACUCUUCAUCACAGUUGAAAAACAGUUUGAUUUCCUUUGGAGCCUCAAACCGAGUCUCAAGUGCUCCUGCCGAGUGACAGAGUCUCCAGUAUCAGGAAGCAGCUACACAGAGCAGAACAGGGCAGGACAGUAUCUGCAUAGGACCCACGAAGAGAAUUCGCUAAACCGGGACACAACCAAAAGGAAAUCCUGGUGGGACCAGAGAAAUGACCAUUUCACAGCCCUGCUCAGGGUCUGCUUCUGGGGACACCCAACUGAGACCCCAGGAAAAGAUAAGAUGAUUUCAAAAAUCAAGUUGGAGUUGGCAUUAGGAGAAAAAAAGAAUGGUUUCUUGCUGCUUUUCCAGUCAACACAUCAACCACACUGGUAAUUCAGGUUUUACUCAUAAUGAAGUUUCCUGAUUAGAACCUGGGGACAGGAGGUAGUGGGGUUUUCCAUUUUCUUCUGCAUACUCAUCACAUCUUGAAACUGAAUCUGCAUAGAGUCAGAUGCUAAUCACACAACUCUUCUGACUUCUUCCUGCCUAGUGAAUUUUCCACUUCCCCCCAUGGUGCCCUCAAAGUGAGAUGAAUUGUUCAUGGGGGCAGAGCUUGCAUGAUGCACAGUUCAUAAAGUUGGGGUCGGUGGCUAGUCUAUGUCAGGGUAGCUAGCUCCCAACAGCCCUACUUACUUUGUUCGUCCAUUUUCUCUUUAAAGCAUAACUUACAUGCAGUGAAAUUUUCAUCUAUAGCUUUGACACUUCUGUUUUGCUUUUUAUUUAUUGUUUUAAUGUUUUUAUUUAUUUUCGAGACAGAGAGAGA
Molecule: long non-coding RNA, 1183 nt
Filed under: Felis catus (domestic cat)
Lineage: Eukaryota; Metazoa; Chordata; Mammalia; Carnivora; Felidae
Description: lncRNA (ENSFCAG00000053259.1)
Source: RNAcentral